UACGGGGGGGGGCAAGCGUUGUUCGGAAUUACUGGGCGUAAAGGGCGCGUAGGCGGUGCUCUAAGUCGGAUGUGAAAACUCUGGGCUCAACCCAGAGCCUGCAUCCGAAACUGGAGUGCUAGAGUUCUGGAGGGGGUAGCGGAAUUCCUGGUGUAGCGGUGAAAUGCGUAGAUAUCAGGAAGAACACCAACGGCGAAGGCAGCUCGCUGGGACGGUACUGACGCUGAGACGCGAAAGCGUGGGGAGCGAACAGG
This 254-nucleotide ribosomal RNA is filed under the name uncultured bacterium. RNAcentral describes it as "partial 16S ribosomal RNA". It matches the Rfam family "Bacterial small subunit ribosomal RNA", at positions 524 to 776 of the family's 1533-position model. The record is from RNAcentral.